GUUGAUAUUUUAAUAUUCAAAUGACGACAACAAAGGGACAGCCAGAGUGUCUGAAGAGGAUCAAUAAGGUGUUGAGAGCAGUCUCCGUCGGCACAGAAAGGGAGAAACAUCAGAGCAGAGGGAAGCUGUGGACAUUCACAAGAUGGUGAAGAUGCAGUGGAGUCUGUUGGUGUUGAUUGUGAUGGGUCAGUGUUCCUCCAUUGGGGGUCAGCUGUGUGACUACCACUUCAUUGAUAUGAGAAGA
Long non-coding RNA from Sander lucioperca (pikeperch), 244 nucleotides. RefSeq lists it as uncharacterized. NCBI's taxonomy places the organism in Eukaryota, Metazoa, Chordata, Actinopteri, Perciformes, Percidae. The transcript has 3 exons. The record is from RefSeq and is a predicted model, not a curated record.